Molecule: ribosomal RNA, 305 nt
Filed under: uncultured bacterium
Lineage: Bacteria
Description: partial 16S ribosomal RNA
Rfam family: Bacterial small subunit ribosomal RNA
Source: RNAcentral
ACAGCAGCAGCCACGGGAAUACGUAGGUGGCAAGCGUUAUCCGGAAUUAUUGGGCGUAAAGCGCGCGUAGGCGGUUUUUUAAGUCUGAUGUGAAAGCCCACGGCUCAACCGUGGAGGGUCAUUGGAAACUGGAAAACUUGAGUGCAGAAGAGGAAAGUGGAAUUCCAUGUGUAGCGGUGAAAUGCGCAGAGAUAUGGAGGAACACCAGUGGCGAAGGCGACUUUCUGGUCUGUAACUGACGCUGAUGUGCGAAAGCGUGUGGAUCAAACAGGAUUAGAUACCCCCGUAGUCCCUGUCUCUUAUAC